GUAGGUGAACCUGCGGAAGGAUCAUUGCAAGUAGAGAUUGUUGGGUGUUGAUUGUGUGGGUUUGGGUGGGUUUGGGUGGGUUGAGGUGGUUGUUGGUGGUUGUUGGUGGGGUGGGUGUUGUUGUUGGUGGUUGUUUGCGGGGCGGGGAAUCGUCCUGCAGUUGCCACAUUGUGUUGUAUAACCACAGCAUCACACACAUCACAUCAUCACAUCAAAUCCACUCACUCACACAUCACCAUAUCACUUAUAU
This 250-nucleotide unclassified non-coding RNA is filed under the name plant metagenome. RNAcentral's name for it is "partial contains small subunit ribosomal RNA, internal transcribed spacer 1, and 5.8S ribosomal RNA". The record is from RNAcentral.